AGAGUUUGAUCCUGGCUCAGGACGAACGCUGGCGGCGUGCUUAACACAUGCAAGUCGAACGGUAAGGCCCCUUCGGGGGUACACGAGUGGCGAACGGGUGAGUAACACGUGAGCAACCUACCCUUGACUCUGGAAUAACGGCUGGAAACAGCCGCUAAUACCGGAUAUGACCUCGAGCGUCAUCGCUUGAGGUGGAAAGCUCCGGCGGUCAGGGAUGGGCUCGCGGCCUAUCAGCUAGUUGGUGAGGUAACGGCUCACCAAGGCUUCGACGGGUAGCCGGCCUGAGAGGGCGACCGGCCACACUGGGACUGAGAUACGGCCCAGACUCCUACGGGAGGCAGCAGUGGGGAAUAUUGCACAAUGGGCGCAAGCCUGAUGCAGCAACGCCGCGUGUGGGAUGACGGCCUUCGGGUUGUAAACCACUUUCAGCGCCGACGAAGCGAAAGUGACGGUAGGCGCAGAAGAAGCACCGGCCAACUACGUGCCAGCAGCCGCGGUGAUACGUAGGGUGCGAGCGUUGUCCGGAAUUAUUGGGCGUAAAGGGCUCGUAGGCGGUCCGUCGCGUCGGAAGUGAAAACUCGGGGCUUAACCCCGAGCCUGCUUCCGAUACGGGCGGACUAGAGGAAUGCAGGGGAGAAUGGAAUUCCUGGUGGAGCGGUGGAAUGCGCAGAUAUCAGGAGGAACACCAGUGGCGAAGGCGGUUCUCUGGGCAUUUCCUGACGCUGAGGAGCGAAAGCGUGGGGAGCAAACAGGCUUAGAUACCCUGGUAGUCCACGCCGUAAACGGUGGGCACUAGGUGUGGGACUCAUUCCACGAGUUCCGUGCCGAAGCUAACGCAUUAAGUGCCCCGCCUGGGGAGUA
This 861-nucleotide ribosomal RNA is filed under the name uncultured bacterium. Its description in RNAcentral is "bacterial SSU rRNA". It matches the Rfam family "Bacterial small subunit ribosomal RNA", at positions 8 to 882 of the family's 1533-position model. The record is from RNAcentral.